CAACCCUUGUCUCAUGUUGCCAGCACGUAAUGGUGGGGACUCGUGAGAGACUGCCGGGGUCAACUCGGAGGAAGGUGGGGAUGACGUCAAGUCAUCAUGCCCCUUAUGUCCAGGGCUUCACACAUGCUACAAUGGCGCGUACAGAGGGCUGCAAUACCGUGAGGUGGAGCGAAUCCCUUAAAGCGCGUCUCAGUUCGGAUUGGGGUCUGCAACUCGACCCCAUGAAGUCGGAGUCGCUAGUAAUCGCAGAUCAGCAACGCUGCGGUGAAUACGUUCCCGGGCCUUGUACACACCGCCCGUCACGUCAUGAAAGUCGGUAACACCCGAAGCCGGUGGCCUAACCCCUUGUGGGAGGGAGCUGUCGAAGGUGGGAUUGGCGAUUGGGACGAAGUCGUAACAAGGUAGCCGUACCGGAAGGUGCGGCUGGAUCACCUCCUUUCUAAGGAG
This 447-nucleotide ribosomal RNA is filed under the name Tsukamurella pseudospumae. RNAcentral's name for it is "bacterial SSU rRNA". It matches the Rfam family "Bacterial small subunit ribosomal RNA", at positions 1099 to 1533 of the family's 1533-position model. The record is from RNAcentral. Lineage: Bacteria; Bacillati; Actinomycetota; Actinomycetes; Mycobacteriales; Tsukamurellaceae.